RNAcentral lists this ribosomal RNA (1471 nucleotides) under Halosimplex carlsbadense. RNAcentral describes it as "bacterial SSU rRNA". It matches the Rfam family "Archaeal small subunit ribosomal RNA". Lineage: Archaea; Methanobacteriati; Methanobacteriota; Halobacteria; Halobacteriales; Haloarculaceae. The record is from RNAcentral. RNAcentral also lists the same sequence under 1 other name.
AUUCCGGUUGAUCCUGCCGGAGGCCAUUGCUAUCGGAGUUCGACUUAGCCAUGCUAGUCGCGCGGGUUUAGACCCGCGGCAAAUAGCUCAGUAACACGUGGCCAAACUGCCCUACAGAUCGGAAUAACCUCGGGAAACUGAGGCUAAUGCCGAAUAGGACUUUCAGGUUGGAGUGCCGAGAGUUCGAAACGCUACGGCGCUGUAGGAUGUGGCUGCGGCCGAUUAGGUAGACGGUGGGGUAACGGCCCACCGUGCCGAUAAUCGGUACAGGUUGUGAGAGCAAGAGCCUGGAGACGGAAUCUGAGACAAGAUUCCGGGCCCUACGGGGCGCACAGGCGCGAAACCUUUACACUGCACGACAGUGGAAUAGGGGAACUCCGAGUGCGAGGGCAUAGAGCCCUCGCUUUUCCACACCGUAAAGUGGUGCGGGAACAAGUGCUGGGCAAGACCGGUGUCAGCCGCCGCGGUAAUACCGGCAGCACAAGUGAUGGCCGAUUUUAUUGGGCCUAAAGCGUCCGUAGCUGGCCGUGCAAGUCUGUCGGGAAAUCCAGUGGCUCAACCUCUGGGCUUCCGGCGGAAACUGCUCGGCUUGGGACCGGAAGACUCGAGGGGUACGUUCGGGGUAGGAGUGAAAUCCUGUAAUCCUGAACGGACCACCGAUGGCGAAAGCACCUCGAGAGCACGGAUCCGACAGUGAGGGACGAAAGCUAGGGUCUCGAACCGGAUUAGAUACCCGGGUAGUCCUAGCUGUUAACGAUGCCCGCUCGGUUCGGCGCAGGCUACGAGCCUGUGCCGCGCCUCAGUGAAGACGGUAAGCGGGCCGCCUGGGAAGUACGUCCGCAAGGAUGAAACUUAAAGGAAUUGGCGGGGGAGCACUACAACCGGAGGAGCCUGCGGUUUAAUUGGACUCAACGCCGGACAUCUCACCAGCACCGACAACGGUAAUGAUGGUCAGGUUGAUGACCUUACCCGACGCCGUUGAGAGGAGGUGCAUGGCCGCCGUCAGCUCGUACCGUGAGGCAUCCUGUUAAGUCAGGCAACGAGCGAGACCCGCGUCCGUAAUUGCCAGCAGCACCCUUGUGGUGGCUGGGUACAUUACGGAGACUGCCACGGCUAACGUGGAGGAAGGAACGGGCAACGGUAGGUCAGCAUGCCCCGAAUGUGCUGGGCAACACGCGGGCUACAAUGGCCUGGACAGUGGGUUGCAACACCGAGAGGUGGCGCUAAUCCCCUAAACCGGGUCGUAGUUCGGAUUGAGGACUGAAACUCGUCCUCAUGAAGCUGGAUUCGGUAGUAAUCGCGUGUCAGAAGCGCGCGGUGAAUACGUCCCUGCUCCUUGCACACACCGCCCGUCAAAUCACCCGAGUGGGGUCCGGAUGAGGCCAUCAUGCGAUGGUCGAAUCUGGGUCCGCAAGGGGGAUUAAGUCGUAACAAGGUAGCCGUAGAGGAAUCUGCGGCUGGAUCACCUCCU